RNAcentral lists this small RNA (69 nucleotides) under Mesobacillus subterraneus. RNAcentral's name for it is "Bacillus subterraneus Listeria sRNA sbrA". It matches the Rfam family "Listeria sRNA sbrA". Lineage: Bacteria; Bacillati; Bacillota; Bacilli; Caryophanales; Bacillaceae. The record is from Rfam by way of RNAcentral.
ACACAGCUAGAUCCAUACCCCUAAACUCCCUAAAUGGAGGACAACGGCAUAUGCUGUUGUCCGCUUUUU